CACGUAGGAGGCAAACGUUAUCCGGAUUUACUGGGCGUAAAGCGCAUGUAGGUGGUUCUGUAAGUAGGGCGUGAAAGCUCCCGGCUCAACUGGGAGAGGCCGUUCUAAACUACAGAGCUAGAGGAUGGUAGAGGGAGGUGGAAUUCCGGGUGUAGCGGUGGAAUGCGCAGAUAUCCGGAGGAACACCAGUGGCGAAAGCGGCCUCCUGGUCCAUUCCUGACACUCAGAUGCGAAAGCUAGGGUAGCAAACGGGAUUAGAUACCCGCGUAGUCCCU
Molecule: ribosomal RNA, 275 nt
Filed under: uncultured prokaryote
Description: partial 16S ribosomal RNA
Rfam family: Bacterial small subunit ribosomal RNA
Source: RNAcentral